UACGGAGGGGGCUAGCGUUGUUCGGAAUUACUGGGCGUAAAGCGUACGUAGGCGGCUUGCCAAGUCAGGGGUGAAAUCCCGCGACUCAAUCGCGGAACUGCCCUUGAGACUGGUUCGCUUGAAGAUGGGAGAGGUCAGUGGAAUUCCGAGUGUAGAGGUGAAAUUCGUAGAUAUUGGGAGGAACACCAGUGGCGAAGGCGGCUCACUGGACCGGUUCUGACGCUGAGGCGCGAAAGCGUGGGGAGCAAACGGG
RNAcentral lists this ribosomal RNA (253 nucleotides) under uncultured prokaryote. RNAcentral describes it as "partial 16S ribosomal RNA". It matches the Rfam family "Bacterial small subunit ribosomal RNA", at positions 524 to 776 of the family's 1533-position model. The record is from RNAcentral.